CGCCACGCGUCACAAAGGCAGCGCACGCGACGCAGUGACGCAUGCCCUCUUCGGCUCCGCCUGCUCGCGGCGCUCCUCGGCAGGUGGAGUCGAGGGCUUACGUGCAAGACGGCGACAGGGGGAGAAGAGUGAGUGAACGGCAGCAUUCCUGCCGCUGCAGCAAUUUGAUUGCUGAUGUCGGGCAGGGGUGGCCGUAGCGCUCUCCCGUGCCUGUGCGUGCGUGCGCGAACGCGCGGGUUCACUCUUUGACGGUUCUCCUCCUCCCAGAUCAGCGCGCGACGAGCAUGGGUGUGCAUGUGUGAGCGCGUGUCUCACUCUCACGUCGUUUCGGCUUCUGCGCUGAUUGCCGCCCCAUGAAUGAGACCGCCAUCGACCGUGUGGCCGACGGGGGGGAGGUUCAGUGGCGUUUUCGGCGCUAGCGACGGCCACCCAACGGGCGACAGCGCAUGUCUUCACGCAGAGCCACAAGCUGGCGGCUAGCACGAACUGCCGCGAGUGAGACUUAUAGCCCUACCGUCGUGAUGGCCUGAUGCGGAGCUUCGAGGGCAUUUCACCACGUCUGCGUCAGCUCAGGGCUGGACGGCUACCUCAACCUUGACGAGUUCAAGACGGCCUUGCGCCCGGUGGGAAACUCCGAGGACAACCUGAGUGUCUAGGUUGUGUGCGCCGGCAGAUUCGGCGGCACUGUUGACGACCUCGGCCUGCAAGAAACGAUGUUGUGCGGCGCGACUAGCAGCCCUGUGUACGGGGUGUUUUUUUUUUACCAUCUCGACCUCAAGACGCUCGUACAGACGAAGCCGAGGCAGCACCGUCGGCUUGGCUUUGGGGAUGGGGCCGUGCGAGCGCAGUACCGCGACUGUGGGCUGCGCAGCGUCUACGGCGGCGUGGGGCUCGCGGCAGCCUGCCUCUUUGCCCGAAGCGCCCUUGCGUCUGUCAGCGGCGAGUGCAUCUUGAGCAUGUUGGCUUUCAAUCGCGGCAGACGUACGCACGAGGGCUCGCCAGUGCGGCCAAUGGCUGCAGCUUGUGCGUCUUGCAUGAGUGCAUUUUGGUAUUGGCAACGUGGGUGGUGUCUGCCAAAUGCGCUCUUCUCCAUGGUGCCGUAUCCCGCCGUGUGGUAGCGGAGCUUGGCGUACACCUUCUCUGCACGGCGUCCUUGCUCACGGUGACGCGACCAUGCAGAGUCGCUCCCUCUUCCCCUCGCACACACGCAUCUGGCCAUGCUUGGGUGCGUGCAGUACGUGUCCGCGUGGCAAAAGACGGACGCCCCGACACUGCGACACGAGAGAGCGCCUCCACCCACACACUCACACGUACAUGUGAGGGAGCGUCUUCUUAUCGGCGUUUGCGUCGCCGGUGGUUACGCGGAGGUUUGCAUGUGUGCACAGAAGGGUGCAAAAGCCAUGCGCGGGUGUGCGUGUGUGGGGGUGUGUUUACGCACGUAGAAGAAUGACUGCCGUCCCCUCCCCACCCCGCCCCACACACUGCUCCGAUAUGUUUUCGAGUGGGCAGCUACUCUCUUUAUGUGGCUGCGGAUGUCGUGUCCUUCCACAGGGCAAUGCUCGUCUGGCGCCGAUGGCGCAGCACGCGUAUGC
RNAcentral lists this unclassified non-coding RNA (1592 nucleotides) under Leishmania donovani. RNAcentral's name for it is "gene:unknown". The record is from RNAcentral. Lineage: Eukaryota; Euglenozoa; Kinetoplastea; Trypanosomatida; Trypanosomatidae.